UACAGAGGGGGCAAGCGUUAUUCGGAAUUAUUGGGCGUAAAGCGCGCGUAGGCGGUUACUUAAGUCGGAUGUGAAAGCCCUCGGCUUAACUGAGGAAGUGCACCCGAAACUGAGUAGCUAGAGUACGAAAGAGGGUCGCGGAAUUCCCGGUGUAGAGGUGAAAUUCGUAGAUAUCAGGAGGAACACCGGUGGCGAAGGCGGUUCUCUGGGCAUUACCUGACGCUGAGGAGCGAAAGUGUGGGGAGCGAACAGG
RNAcentral lists this ribosomal RNA (253 nucleotides) under uncultured bacterium. Its description in RNAcentral is "partial 16S ribosomal RNA". It matches the Rfam family "Bacterial small subunit ribosomal RNA", at positions 524 to 776 of the family's 1533-position model. The record is from RNAcentral.